Molecule: non-coding RNA, 99 nt
Organism: Roridomyces roridus
Lineage: Eukaryota; Fungi; Basidiomycota; Agaricomycetes; Agaricales; Mycenaceae
Source: the annotation of a GenBank genome assembly
GCUUCCAUGGCUCAGUUGGUUAGAGCGCCAGUCUCAUAACAUGAGGGUUCUCUUGAAUCUUCCAUCUGGAGGUCCUGAGUUCGAAACUCAGUGGGAGCA